CGGCCAAAUUCCAGCUGCGCUAAUUGUAUUGUGUUCACAGAGCUCACAAGCUAUCAGAAAGUUGUAUGGCAACCACCUCCGGCGCCAAAUAGAACUGGCAGACAUAGACAUUCAGUACAAGAAGAAAAAGAUGGAAAAUCUUGCACUGGAGUCCGAAAUAAAAAAGAGGACAAUUAGGAAACUGGACCUUGAAAUAAAAAAACUUGAGAGGGAGCUCCAAGAAGAUGACACAGCUCAAAAUAAAAAUUAGCAAUCAGUACAACCAAGUCAUGGUUAUAAGGCACCGGCCUCUUUUGCCCACCCCCCCAGCACCAGGUGUGGCCACUAGCCUAUAUGAAGGCCCAAAAUUGUGUGUUCCUUUCUGCUCUGACAAUGGCAUGCCCAUUCUUGCGAGAUGUGGUGGAUGAAGAAGCACUUGUGCUGAGGAGAGCCUUCAGGCGAGAAAGGGUCUUCAGG
Carassius carassius (crucian carp) is the source of this 456-nucleotide long non-coding RNA. RefSeq lists it as uncharacterized. NCBI's taxonomy places the organism in Eukaryota, Metazoa, Chordata, Actinopteri, Cypriniformes, Cyprinidae. The transcript is spliced from 3 exons. The record is from RefSeq and is a predicted model, not a curated record.